GAGAGCUCAGCAGAUACUGGUAGAGUGUCAAAAGCUUCUUCAAGUUGGAAGAUGCUCAGUCAUGAAGAAUCUUGCAUGAGAAACUGAAGUAUGAACCAAUAAUGGGAAUCUGAUGGUGAUGGGGAAUGAGGAUAAGCUUUAUUCCAAUCUGAUGGAGGCUUAUCUUCAUGAACCCGUACAUUGACGUGAUGGGCUUCAUUGGCGGUGGCUUCAUAUUAUCCUCUCACAACACUCUUUUUCCCCCUUUUGUUCUUUAUCUUUUGGCGUAUGCUCAAUUAUGUUCUCCACCUCCUACUAGAUAAGGGCU
This is a long non-coding RNA of Neltuma alba, 307 nucleotides long. RefSeq lists it as uncharacterized. NCBI's taxonomy places the organism in Eukaryota, Viridiplantae, Streptophyta, Magnoliopsida, Fabales, Fabaceae. The transcript has 3 exons. The record is from RefSeq and is a predicted model, not a curated record.